GUUUAGACACACCUACUCAUUCAAAGGUUUUUCUUUAUUUUUACUAUUUUCUACAUUUUAGAAUAAUAGUGAAGACAUCGAAACUAUGAAAACAACACAUAUGGAAUUAUGUAGUAACUAAAAAAGUGCUAAACAAAUCAAAAUAUAUUUUAUGUUUGAGAUUCUUCAAAGUUGCCACCCUUUGCCUUGAUGACAGCUUGGACCACGCUUGGCAUUCUCUCAACUAGCUUCACCUGGAAAUCUUUUCCAACAUUCUUGAAUGAGUUCCCACAUAUGCUGAGCACUUGUUGGCUGCUUUUCCUUCACUCUGCGGUCCAACUCAUCCCAAACCAUCUCAAUUGGGUUGAGGUCGGGUGAUUGUGGAGGCCAGGUCAUCUGAUGCAGCACUCCAUCACUCUCCUUCUUGGUCAAAUAGCCCUUACACAGCCUGGAGGUGUGUUGGGUCAUUGUCCUGUUGAAAAAAAAUAUAUAGUCCCACUAAACGCAACCAGAUGGGAUGGUGUAUCGCUGCAGAAUGCUGUGGUAGCCAUGCUGGUUAAGUGUGCCUUGAAUUCUAAAUAAAUCACUGACAGUGUCACCAGCAAAGCACCCCCACACCAUAACACCUCCUCCAUGCUUCACGGUGGGAACCACACAUGCAGAAAUCAUCUGUUCACCUAUUCUGCGUCUCACAAAGACACGGCGGUUGGAACCAAAAAUCUCACAUUUGGACUCAUCAGACCAAAGGACAGAUUUCCACAGGUCUAAUGUCCAUUGCUCGUGUUUCUUGGCCCAAGCAAGUCUCUUCUUAUUAUUGGUGUCCUUUAGUAGUGGUUUCUUUGCAGCAAUUUGACCAUGAAGGCCUAAUUCACACAGUCUCCUCUGGUCAGUUGAUGUUGAGAUGUGUCUGUUACUUGAACUCUGUGAAGCAUUAAUUUGGGCUGCAAUUUCUGAGGCUGGUAACUCUAAUGAACUUACCCUCUGUAGCAGAGGUAACUCUGGGUCUUCCUUUCCUGUGGUUGUCCUCAUGAGAGCCAGUUUCAUCAUAGGGUUUGAUGGUUUUUGCAACUGCACUUGAAGAAACUUUCAAAGUUCUUCAAAUUCUCCGCAUUGACUGACCUUCAUGUCUUAAAGUAAUGAUGGACUGUCGUUUCUCUUUGCUUAUUUGAGCUGUUCUUGCCGUAAUAUGGACCUGGUCUUUUACCAAAUACGGCUAUCUUCUGUAUACCAACCCUACCUUGUCACAACACAACUGAUUGUCUCAAAGCCGUUAAGAAGGAAAGAAAUUACACAAAUUUACUUUUAACAAGGCACACCUGUUAAUUGAAAUGCAUUCCAUGAAGCAUUCCAUUCUCAUGAAGCUAGUUGAGAGAAUGCCAACAGUGUGCAAAGCUGUCAUCAAGGCAAAGGGUGGCUACUUUGAAGAAUCUCAAAUAUAUAAUAUUUUUUUAUUUGUUUAGCAGUUUUUUGGUUUCUACGUGAAUCCAUAAGUGUUAUUUCAUAGUUUUGAUAUCUUCACUAUUAUUCUACAAUGUAGAAAGUUGUAAAAAUAUAGAAAAACCCUUGAAUGAGUAGGUGUGUCCAACAUUUUGACUGAUACUGUGCACAAAAUAUAAACACAACAUGUAAAGUGUUGGUCCCAUGUUUCUUGAGCUAAAUUUUUCAAAGAAAUGUUCCAUACGCACAAAAAACUUUUUUUCUCUAAAAUGUUGUGCACACAUUUUUUUACAUCCCUGUUAGUGAGCAUUUCUCCUUUGUCAAAAUUAUCCAUCCACCUGACAGGUGUGGCAUAUCAAGAAGCUGAUUAAACAGCAUGAUCGUUACACAGGUGCACCUUGUGCUGGGGACAAUAAAAUGCCACUCUAAAAUGUGUAGUUUUGUCACACAACACAAUACCACAGAUGUCUCAAGUUUUGAGAGAGCGUGCAUAUUGGCAUGCUGACUGCAGGAAUGUCCACCAGAGCUGUUGCCAGAGAAUUGAACAUUCAUUUCUCAACCAUAAGCCGCCUCCAACAUCAUUUGAGAGAACCGCAGACAACCGUUGACCACGUGUAUUGCGUCAUGUGGGGGAGCGGUUUGCUGAUGUCAACGUUGUGAACAGAAUGUGCCCCAUGGUGGAGGUGGGGUUAUGGUAUGGGCCCCAUUGUGGAGGUGGGGUUAUGGUAUGGGCCCCAUGGUGGAGGUGGGGUUAUGGUAUGGGCCCCAUGGUGGAGGUGGUGUUAUGGUAUGGGCCCCAUGGUGGAGGUGGGGUUAUGGUAUGGGCC
This 2243-nucleotide long non-coding RNA is filed under the name Salmo salar (Atlantic salmon). RNAcentral describes it as "lncRNA (ENSSSAG00000082180.1)". The record is from RNAcentral. Lineage: Eukaryota; Metazoa; Chordata; Actinopteri; Salmoniformes; Salmonidae.